UGCUAAUCUGCUAUUUGAAAUUGCUAUUUAG
This 31-nucleotide non-coding RNA is filed under the name Mus musculus (house mouse). The record is from RNAcentral. Lineage: Eukaryota; Metazoa; Chordata; Mammalia; Rodentia; Muridae.